ACACGACUACAUUAGAUACCCGGGUAGUCCUAGCCGUAAACGAUACUCGCUAGGUGUCGGCCACGGUGCGACCGUUGUCGGUGCCGUAGGGAAGCCGUGAAGCGAGCCACCUGGGAAGUACGGCCGCAAGGCUGAAACUUAAAGGGAUUGGCGGGGGAGCACCACAACGGGUGGAGCUUGCGGUUUAAUUGGAUUCAACGCCGGAAAUCUUACCGGGACCGACAGCAACAUGAAGGCCAGGCUGAAGACUUUGCCGGAUUAGCUG
RNAcentral lists this ribosomal RNA (265 nucleotides) under uncultured archaeon. RNAcentral's name for it is "partial 16S ribosomal RNA". It matches the Rfam family "Archaeal small subunit ribosomal RNA", at positions 717 to 982 of the family's 1478-position model. The record is from RNAcentral.